RNAcentral lists this long non-coding RNA (933 nucleotides) under Elaeis guineensis (African oil palm). RNAcentral's name for it is "long non-coding RNA (EGUI_LNC073204)". Lineage: Eukaryota; Viridiplantae; Streptophyta; Magnoliopsida; Arecales; Arecaceae. The record is from RNAcentral.
GUGGGAGGGUCUGCCAAAGCUUGCCUUAGACACCAUCAGAAAUGGCCAGGUAAACGGGCUUCCAAUUAAAAACCACCAGUCUGGUUUACCUUAGACACCAACUGGUUCAAUUAGUUUCGAUUAGAUCAACCUAACAGUUCAUGCUAGACCGCUUAGCCAAGAAUCAAGUCCAUUUGGUUCUCGUUAAAGACAUGGACUUGACCAACUACAACUAUUGUAAUUGAUCUAGAGAAUCUAAGACAACAAUGGAUUAGAUUUAGUCAAUUCUCUAAUUAAGUCCAUCUUUAAUCUAACCAUAGGUCUAACCCAAUUAAUGGACCUAAUUCCCACUAACCCAUUAAACCAAUGUGUUAUAGUUUGUAUCUUAGGUUCUUCAAUUCAUAAUCCUAGAACCUAAUCAAACAACUUCUUAAUUCUUAAUUAAGUUUUGGACUGAGGGUUGGGUUCGGCUUUUCAAAAAAUAAUUUUCAUAUUUGUAAAAUAAUUUUACAAUAUGAUUCUACCAACCAUAUUGCAUGUUUGAUUCAUAAUCAAGAUACAAGUGAAAUAAACAUGAAACUACUUUAGAUCUAAUCUAAACAGGUUCAUGUAAUUAAAAUAAUUUCAACUUUAAACAAUUUCUUUACACAAAAAUUAUUAACAAAGAGAUUUUAUUUCAGAUUUAAAUACCUUUUAAAUCUAAUAAAUUAUAAAUUUAAUCUAGAUCAUAUCUAGAAAAUUUAUGAUUAAAGAUAGAUCUAUACAAACUAGGACAACCUUUGCACUGUAAGGGGUAAACCUCAUAGCAGGACAACCUUGCAGUUCGUGAUUGAUCUAAAAUUUUAAUUUUAGAUUUAAUAAUCAGAUUCUAAAUUAGAUCAAAUCUAAAAAAUAAUCUAAGUAUGUAUAAAUAAUCAUGUAAUAAAGAACCUAGGCUCUGAUACCAAUUGUAGG